CAUCAUGUGAGCUGCUUCCCUCUGCCACACUCUUCACCAUGAUGUCCUACUUCACCUUGAGCCUCGAGGAAUGGAGCCCGCUGUCUGUGGAUUGAGACCUCUGAAACUGGCAUUGCCUCCAGUGAUAAGGAGCCGAGACCCCUAAUGAUUCAAAGAACAAUAUGGAAGCAUUGACAUCCACAUGAUCAUGAUGGAAUAACAGAACUAGACUUAACCUUACACCUUCCACCUUAAACAACUAAAAAGAAAUGAAGAAAAUAAGUGCAACAAUAAUCUUUAAACAUUGAACACGCAGUGCUGGACAAUGAUCCCUCAAUGAAGGGGAACAAUCAGGUACUCUCAUGGUUCUUUCUGUACAACACAUCAGCAGUUUACUUGGAAAAACCUGGACUUGGGUUGCCCUCAGGUACUGAAACAAUGACAACAAAACUAUCCAUUAAAAAUGAAGGAGAGAUAAAGGUAUACUCAAACAAAAGAAAAAGGAAUAUACCUUCAUCAUUUCUACAGUAAAUACUAAAGGAAGCUCUUCAAACAGCAAGAGAGAGAUGUUAAUAAGUAAGAAGAAAGCAUGGGGAAAGAGAUAAGCAAUAUAAGAAAAUGCAAACUGUGAUAUCAAAAAUGCAAAUGGGGGUAGAAGUGCAAGUGUGGAGAUUUCUAAUUAGUAUAUUUUCUCUUGUUCUUUUGUCUGUUAUCCUUUCAAUAAUGUUAAGUUGUUAUUGUUGCAGAUGCUUGUUAUAAUCAAAACAUGUUGUUGUAAGCCUCAAGGUGACCACAAAACAAAAAUCUAUAAUAGAAAAACCAAAAAUAAUAGGCCAGGAAUUAAAACACUACAAGACUAAGUCACUUAACCACAAAGAAAGACUGCAAGAAAAGGAGAAAGAAAUGAAUUGCUACGAAGCUAGAAAACAAGUUAACAAAUAGAUGUAGUAAGACCUUACUAAUCAGAAUUACCUUGAAUGCAAGUGGAUUAAAUUCUCCAAUUCAAAACAUAGAAUAAAUGAAUGAAUUAAAAAAAAAAAAACAAGAUCCAACUAUAUGUUGUGUGCAAGAAACACACUUUGUGAUGAGCUGACAGAUUUGGCUCCAUGGAAAUGUUACAGGCCAGACUAUAUGGGAAUGACUAAACAGACUCCAUUUUGCUCUGAGACUCCAUGUUAUGUAGGAAAUGAGCUUCUCCCAUGGGAACACCCCAUCUCUGUACCCAUCAUUAGUUACUUAACAUGACAUGUUCAGCACUACAAAAUUACAAUUCUUAUGUGA
Long non-coding RNA from Sciurus carolinensis (gray squirrel), 1260 nucleotides. RefSeq lists it as uncharacterized. The transcript is spliced from 3 exons. The record is from RefSeq and is a predicted model, not a curated record. NCBI's taxonomy places the organism in Eukaryota, Metazoa, Chordata, Mammalia, Rodentia, Sciuridae.